This 2908-nucleotide ribosomal RNA is filed under the name Yersinia pestis. Its description in RNAcentral is "23S ribosomal RNA". It matches the Rfam family "Bacterial large subunit ribosomal RNA". Lineage: Bacteria; Pseudomonadati; Pseudomonadota; Gammaproteobacteria; Enterobacterales; Yersiniaceae. The record is from RNAcentral.
GGUUAAGCGACUAAGCGUACACGGUGGAUGCCUAGGCAGUCAGAGGCGAUGAAGGGCGUGCUAAUCUGCGAAAAGCGUCGGUAAGCUGAUAUGAAGCGUUAUAACCGACGAUACCCGAAUGGGGAAACCCAGUGCAAUACGUUGCACUAUCGUUAGAUGAAUACAUAGUCUAACGAGGCGAACCGGGGGAACUGAAACAUCUAAGUACCCCGAGGAAAAGAAAUCAACCGAGAUUCCCCCAGUAGCGGCGAGCGAACGGGGAGGAGCCCAGAGUCUGAAUCAGUUUGUGUGUUAGUGGAAGCGUCUGGAAAGUCGCACGGUACAGGGUGAUAGUCCCGUACACCAAAAUGCACAGGCUGUGAACUCGAUGAGUAGGGCGGGACACGUGACAUCCUGUCUGAAUAUGGGGGGACCAUCCUCCAAGGCUAAAUACUCCUGACUGACCGAUAGUGAACCAGUACCGUGAGGGAAAGGCGAAAAGAACCCCGGCGAGGGGAGUGAAAUAGAACCUGAAACCGUGUACGUACAAGCAGUGGGAGCACCUUCGUGGUGUGACUGCGUACCUUUUGUAUAAUGGGUCAGCGACUUAUAUUUUGUAGCAAGGUUAACCGAAUAGGGGAGCCGUAGGGAAACCGAGUCUUAACUGGGCGUCUAGUUGCAAGGUAUAGACCCGAAACCCGGUGAUCUAGCCAUGGGCAGGUUGAAGGUUGGGUAACACUAACUGGAGGACCGAACCGACUAAUGUUGAAAAAUUAGCGGAUGACUUGUGGCUGGGGGUGAAAGGCCAAUCAAACCGGGAGAUAGCUGGUUCUCCCCGAAAGCUAUUUAGGUAGCGCCUCGUGAACUCAUCUUCGGGGGUAGAGCACUGUUUCGGCUAGGGGGCCAUCCCGGCUUACCAAACCGAUGCAAACUCCGAAUACCGAAGAAUGUUAUCACGGGAGACACACGGCGGGUGCUAACGUCCGUCGUGAAGAGGGAAACAACCCAGACCGCCAGCUAAGGUCCCAAAGUCAUGGUUAAGUGGGAAACGAUGUGGGAAGGCACAGACAGCCAGGAUGUUGGCUUAGAAGCAGCCAUCAUUUAAAGAAAGCGUAAUAGCUCACUGGUCGAGUCGGCCUGCGCGGAAGAUGUAACGGGGCUAAACCAUGCACCGAAGCUGCGGCAGCGACACUUAGGUGUUGUUGGGUAGGGGAGCGUUCUGUAAGCCGUUGAAGGUGACCUGUGAGGGUUGCUGGAGGUAUCAGAAGUGCGAAUGCUGACAUAAGUAACGAUAAUGCGGGUGAAAAACCCGCACGCCGGAAGACCAAGGGUUCCUGUCCAACGUUAAUCGGGGCAGGGUGAGUCGACCCCUAAGGCGAGGCUGAAAAGCGUAGUCGAUGGGAAACAGGUUAAUAUUCCUGUACUUGGUGUUACUGCGAAGGGGGGGACGGAGAAGGCUAGGCUGGCCGGGCGACGGUUGUCCCGGUUUAAGCGUGUAGGGGGAGUGACCAGGUAAAUCCGGUUGCUUAUCAACCCUGAGGCGUGAUGACGAUGCACCACGGUGCAGAAGCAGUUGAUGCCAUGCUUCCAGGAAAAGCCUCUAAGCAUCAGGUAACAUUAAAUCGUACCCCAAACCGACACAGGUGGUCAGGUAGAGAAUACUCAGGCGCUUGAGAGAACUCGGGUGAAGGAACUAGGCAAAAUGGUGCCGUAACUUCGGGAGAAGGCACGCUGGCGUUAGGUGAAAGGACUAGCUCCUGGAGCUGAAGCCAGUCGCAGAUACCAGCUGGCUGCAACUGUUUAAUAAAAACACAGCACUGUGCAAACACGAAAGUGGACGUAUACGGUGUGACGCCUGCCCGGUGCUGGAAGGUUAAUUGAUGGGGUCAGCCGCAAGGGGAAGCUCUUGAUCGAAGCCCCAGUAAACGGCGGCCGUAACUAUAACGGUCCUAAGGUAGCGAAAUUCCUUGUCGGGUAAGUUCCGACCUGCACGAAUGGCGUAAUGAUGGCCAGGCUGUCUCCACCCGAGACUCAGUGAAAUUGAACUCGCUGUGAAGAUGCAGUGUACCCGCGGCAAGACGGAAAGACCCCGUGAACCUUUACUAUAGCUUGACACUGAACAUUGAGCCUUGAUGUGUAGGAUAGGUGGGAGGCCUUGAAGUGUGGACGCCAGUCUGCAUGGAGCCAACCUUGAAAUACCACCCUUUAAUGUUUGAUGUUCUAACUCGGCCCCAUGAUCUGGGGUGAGGACAGUGUCUGGUGGGUAGUUUGACUGGGGCGGUCUCCUCCCAAAGAGUAACGGAGGAGCACGAAGGUUAGCUAAUCACGGUCGGACAUCGUGAGGUUAGUGCAAAGGCAUAAGCUAGCUUGACUGCGAGAGUGACGGCUCGAGCAGGUACGAAAGUAGGUCUUAGUGAUCCGGUGGUUCUGAAUGGAAGGGCCAUCGCUCAACGGAUAAAAGGUACUCCGGGGAUAACAGGCUGAUACCGCCCAAGAGUUCAUAUCGACGGCGGUGUUUGGCACCUCGAUGUCGGCUCAUCACAUCCUGGGGCUGAAGUAGGUCCCAAGGGUAUGGCUGUUCGCCAUUUAAAGUGGUACGCGAGCUGGGUUUAGAACGUCGUGAGACAGUUCGGUCCCUAUCUGCCGUGGGCGUUGGAAGAUUGAGAGGGGCUGCUCCUAGUACGAGAGGACCGGAGUGGACGAAUCACUGGUGUUCGGGUUGUCAUGCCAAUGGCAUUGCCCGGUAGCUAAAUUCGGAAGAGAUAACCGCUGAAAGCAUCUAAGCGGGAAACUUGCCUCGAGAUGAGUCUUCCCUGGGGCUUAAAGCCCCCUGAAGGAACGUUAAAGACUAUGACGUUGAUAGGCUGGGUGUGUAAGUGCAGCGAUGUAUUGAGCUAACCAGUACUAAUGAUCCGUGAGGCUUAACCUU